UUAUGAGGGACUCACAUAGUGACCCCAUUUUCCUCAUUUGCCAAGGAUGGCAUGUUGGGAGUAAUGAAUGAGUGAAGAGGAACAGUAUCAGCAUACAGAAAGAAGUAAAGACAAGGAACAUGGGGCCUUUACACAGCAAGGACUGGGCAGCCACUUCCUGCUGCAAAAUAGCAGUGGUAGAAAAACUCAUUGUGAAAAGACAGACACAAGCAAACCCACAGAGAGAAGCCAGGAAGAUAGCCCCAGUAGCCAGGGCAUAACUGUGCUUUUAUAAGUUGCUGUAUCAGUCCCCCAGGGACCCAGCUGGAAUUCCUGCCUUCAGGUUCUGUGAGAUACCUCCAUCUUCUCCCAGCACAUCCUUCUCCUUUGGUUGUGACCAAAAGCAAACUAUGUUUCUUGCCUAACCCUCCUUAAGACACAAGAGAGUAGGCAGGAAAAGAGGAGUCUAGAAAAUGACUGAAGUGGGGAGGAGGACAGGAUGGCUACAGCAGCCUUCAUAAGUAGCCAGGCCUGAAGCCAGAGAGUGGAGUGGAGGAGGUUACAGAUUUCCCAUAUGGCAGAGUUAGGGAAGCCUUACCCAGAGACACCAGGAGCCUGGAGGUCUCCAGCAUCACCUCCUCAUACAGGGUCCUCUGGGCCAGAUCCAGCUGCCCCCACUCCUCCUGGGUAAAAGUCACGGCCACAUAAUCAAAGGUCACAGGCAUCUGAAAAGUCAGAGGCAGUGUGUUGGUCUUGGGGCUACUGAUAGGAAUCAGAGUCCAUCUCUCUUGAUGGCAAGGGAGCAGAGUAACCAAGUACCCUGUGAGGGCUGAGCUCUGCGCUGGACUCAAAGAGGCAGAGAUGCUGUUUUGCCUGGAAUACAGCAGCAUAAAAGAGCCUCCUGGGCAGCCCGGGUGGCUCAGCGGUUUAGCGCUGCCUUCAGCCCAGGGCCUGAUUCUGGAGACCCGGGAUCAAGUCCCACAUCAGGCUCCCUGCAUGGAGCCUGCUUCUCCCUCUGCCUGUGUCUCUGCCUCUCUCUGUCUCUCAUAAAUAAAUAAAAUCUUAAAAAAAGAGAGACAGAGCCUCCUAUGUGGGAGCCAAUGGAGAAUACCAUGAGGUCAGGACCUUCCUAUGUGGACUGUGAGGCAUAGAACAGUAAGGGCUUUAAGAUGCCACAGGAAUGGGAAAAAGUAACAAAGAUAAUGAAAACAGCAACAAUAAUAAUUACAGCAACAGCAACUGAGACUCACUGAUUAUCCUGGGUGAUGAUGAAGUGGUGGUACCUGCUUGGGAAGUGGCAGGGCCUGGAUGGGGUCCCAAAGCCUUCUGUUCCUCAGAGACUGUGUGGGAGAAUCCACAAUGAGCCAUUGCUUUUUCCUACAUCUUCCCCUCACUCCCUUUAGUAACUCUGAGGCAACUCAAACUGGCCCACCUGAGUCUCAACAGCAGGUAUCCUUGAGGAAAGAAUACUUCAGGCCCAGAGGAUAGAAGCUGCUGAGGACAACGCAGGCUGUGGCAAUAACAGCCUUUGAUUUGUCACAGUGUCUGUCCUUGCUGAGAAUAUGAUGGAACAUUCAGCAAAUGACCACAAAGUCUGGCCCUCCCAGGGUACGUCUCAGCAGAUGGGGAUACAGGGGCCACGGAAACCACACAGGUCCUCGGGAGACUCCUUCAACAACCAAUGUACCUUUUAUUGUCCAUAUACUUCCACUUGCUAAAAUGCCACAUCCCCACCUCAUGUCUAAGGCCACUUACCGUAAGGAAGCCUGCUUGGCUUACUAAGAUUACUUCAGGUGUGCCUCCAGGCUUCCCUAUCUGCUUUUUGUAGAGAAAGGAGUAAAAAUACAGGCUAUGAAUGUCGACACACUGGUUGUUUCCACUACUUCAGAGCUGCAGUAAUUUUGGGCAGGUAACGAAAGCUCUCCAAGCCUCAAGUUGUUCUUGUGCAAAACAGUGAUAAUAACACAACUCAGAGGAGUUGAGGAUUAAAUGAGGUGAGAUGUUAUGCUUGCCUGUCAGUCCACCACAAAAACUAGUUAACACCAGCUAUCACAUUCCUUUUUGUUACUGUUUUCUCUUUAUUCCGACAAUGUCCUAGACAAGCUCAAUCACCAUGCUUAAUUCUACCAGGUUCCCUGCACAAAAAUACCAGAUGAUGGGUAAGUAGGAAAGGGGCCAUUUUGGACUGAACUGCUAGGAAAGUUCUCUCCGAAUGAGUGAUAUCAGAGCACAGGGCAGAAGGAUCAGAGUCCCUGCAAAGUCACAAGGGCAGUAGCCCAGGCAAAGGCCAGUGCCAAGGACCAAGGCUGUGGUCAGGCUGAUGCAUCUGGGAAGAAGACAAGGCCAGAGGAGGUCGGCAGGAGAACCGGGCUGAUACCUGCAGGUCAGGGCAGGGGCUGGAUCUGUAGGUGUGGGAGCCCUUGGCAGGAGGCACCUUCCAUCCUUCGUGCAGUGACUGGACACCUGCCAAAGACCCGCCACAGCUGUAGGACUGGGAUGAAGUGACAAGCCCACGCCACUUGCUGGAAACAAACGAUAGGAAGAAGAAGAAAUCGGACGGCAGUUCCGGCCUCCAACCUGCCCAGGAGGCACACCCCGGCAGCACAGGCACCCACAGCAGAGGCAGCAGCGCCCAGAGCAAAGUCCACUCAACGGUGCCGGCUCCAUCCACACUGCCGCCAUCACGGGACCCCGUGCCCGGGGCAGGACCCGCAGGGGCGGCGGCCGAGGGGCCUGCCGGACGCGGCCGACCGCCACCCUUUCUACCCAUAGCAGAGUGACCCCGGCGGACUGUCACACUCCGAGCCUCAGUUUCCCCGUGCAAAUGCACCCGCAGACCAUGGCCUCGCGUCAGGGCUGAAGAGACAGCGACCUGCGCUUCCGCGGGCACUCACGGGACAUCCAUUACGGAAGUUGAGGGAUGGGUCUCAGGCUCGCAAAAACACAGAGGUUGGACCUACAGUCCUCACCAAGGUACCUUCUCUGCUCCGGCCUCGGACAAAACACCCGCCACCGCCCAAAGACCCCGAAACCGGGGAGGACCCGCCCAACACUGGUAAAAGACAGACGCGUCACAGGGACCGGAAGUCCC
Molecule: long non-coding RNA, 3070 nt
Filed under: Canis lupus familiaris (dog)
Lineage: Eukaryota; Metazoa; Chordata; Mammalia; Carnivora; Canidae
Description: lncRNA (ENSCAFG00845001472.1)
Source: RNAcentral